This 253-nucleotide ribosomal RNA is filed under the name uncultured bacterium. Its description in RNAcentral is "partial 16S ribosomal RNA". It matches the Rfam family "Bacterial small subunit ribosomal RNA", at positions 524 to 776 of the family's 1533-position model. The record is from RNAcentral.
UACAGAGGGUGCGAGCGUUAAUCGGAUUUACUGGGCGUAAAGCGUGCGCGGGCGGUUUUGUAAGACAGAUGUGAAAUCCCCGGGCUUAACCUGGGAACUGCGUUUGUGACUGCAAGGCUAGAGUACGGCAGAGGGGGGUGGAAUUCCGCGUGUAGCAGUGAAAUGCGUAGAUAUGCGGAGGAACACCGAUGGCGAAGGCAAUCCCCUGGGCCUGCACUGACGCUCAUGCACGAAAGCGUGGGGAGCAAACAGG